This 3170-nucleotide long non-coding RNA is filed under the name Gadus morhua (Atlantic cod). Its description in RNAcentral is "lncRNA (ENSGMOG00000026047.1)". Lineage: Eukaryota; Metazoa; Chordata; Actinopteri; Gadiformes; Gadidae. The record is from RNAcentral.
AUGGAAACCCUGAUCGAUAUGGCGAAACGGGCCGCUUAUUUCAAUGAAAUGGAACUCCAGGUUCUCCUGGAGAGCUAUGACGAGGAGAAGGACAUUAUCGCAAGAAAGGGGAACGCUAAAACCUCUGGAACCCGGAGAACCAAAGCCUGGCAGCGGUGUACUCCAAAUUUAGAGUUACAUUUGAACACUUUGAGAGUGCAAAUGUACUCUAUUAGUGGUACUUUUGGGCACUCAUUCAGUGCUUCCUUACACCUGCAGUGUAAACCUAGAACCCCAGAGAGAGAAAAUAUGUACUCCAAGUCAGUGCUUUGUAGCACUUCGCAGAGCUGAUUAUUUAAUACUUCUAGAGUGAGAAUGUACUCUGACUGGUGUACAACCAACACCUUUGAGGUGAAUUAUCAACACUUCAUGAAUGAAUAGUCUACACCAGGGCUAUUCAACCUCCUUAACAAGUGGGCCGAAAAGGAAAACCACUGGGGGUUCAUGGGCCACACAGAGUAAAACUACGUCAAUGAAUCGCUAAAAAUAAAUCGUACUUAAAGUAGUGUUAACUUAAUAUAUAUAGUACUAUUAUAUGGAAUAAACUUGUCAGACGCACUCCUUCCUUCUUCACUUUUAAUCGUAUCAUUAUAAAAGAUUUCGUUCUCACAUAUUUUGGACACGUAUUUAGAAUUCCACAAUGUUGUUGGAAUCAUCACAAAACAACUACUGUACAUAUGAGAAAUUUUGAGCCAGUGAGUCAGUGAGAAAGAUUGCACUGCCUUGUUUGCCUAGUUUGGCUCAUCCUGAGACACUCAUGCAGCUUCUCAUAGGUCAUCGAGCAACGUGCCCUUGUUCUGACGGCAUUGAUAUGAGAAAAGCUAGACUCAUACGUAUCGUUUGAGCCAAACAUUGUCAGAAUAAGUGAUGCCAGUUCCUGAUUGUGGGGUACUGAUACUGGCUAGUAUCACCGCCUACACACAGAAACCUGAUUUGCAUGCAACUAUGUUUCUCCUUUAUUUAUUUUUUUUUUGCAUGCAACCUCUUGCGUGCCAGAAAAAAAUUAGGAGGGGCCGCAUUUGGCCCACGGGCCGCUAGUUGAAUAGGCCUGGUCUACACAUUAGAUUCUUGCUGCUGUUGUUGUUACAGUGCAUACAUAUAUAAUAUAGUUAACAUUAUAGUUAAACUUUAAUUAUUUUACAUCAAGAACCAUUUUUAGUUUUACAUUUAUAUGAUGUAACAAACAACUUGAAAAUAAAUAAAUAAAUGUGUCCCUGUCAACCAAUUAAAGGGGAAUUCCGGUGUAAAACGGAUUUGUGAUAUGUUUUGUAUGAUAAUGAGUUGAAACGUUUGUUUUGGAGCACAAAAAAACGCAUAUAGACGCUUUCUUCAGUUGGCUGUUUUUAGCCGAUUCUAUCAAAAAGCUAUAAACUUGGAACAAUGGGGCAGUGGUUAUGGUAAAAACUAAAUCGCUAUUUUAAACCAUUUAAAAGGCUAGAAGUAGCCCGACACUUCUUUGGUAGUUCAAUAAGGGUAUUAACAUAUAAAACGAGGCAUUGAGAACUUUGUAAGUGUACAGAUUGUUUAUUAAAAAUAAAAUUACAUUUUAUACACACAAUACCAUCAGUAGAUCACCCGUCGACGCCAUUUUGUUUUCAAGACUCGAUAAGUAGAUUGGCAAACACAGAGAUUGUGACAUCCAUCAGCAACACACAAGCCCUGGCGGCAUGCCAUGGGACCUUUAAAAAUAAAAUAAAAAUUAUCAGGAUACAAUUACCCUGUGAAACUUCACUACACGAUCCACAGCUUCCCGGAUACUGAUUUUGACAGCUCCAUUCUUUCCACUUGGAGGUGGUGGCAGGAGGUAGACCAGCAGGAGAAGUGAGGCCAUGUCACUAUCCCUACCUGAAAAGGGAGAGCACAUACUUUGAGCAUGAAAUACACCUGAUGAAAGCACAUGACACAACAUAAAAGGUUCAAAAAGCUCUUGUCAAUAAAUAGUCAGCAUCUAAAAAGGUGGCCAAAUACAAACAGGUUAUUAUCAUAGGACCCUUUUUUAAAAUAAAAUAAAAAAGGGUCCUAUGUUCCCCAGUCUCAUACAAAGAGGGGAACAUAGGACCCGGGGAACAUAGGACCCGGGGAACAUAGGACCCGGGGAACAUAGGACCCGGGGUCCGGGAACAUAGGACCCGGGGAACAUAGGACCCGGGGAACAUAGGACCCGGGGAACAUAGGACCCGGGGAACAUAGGACCCGGGGAACAUAGACACGCUCCCACUAAAUUAAAGCCACGUGCCUCGUUAGCAUUAGCUAAAAAUGGUAACGAGGCGUUAGCUAAAUUGAAGACAUGUGCCUCAUUAGCAUUGGCCAUUAAGUUUGACGUUAGCUAAAAUCGUUAGCAUUUAUAAGUUGGUUAUCAGAUCUAAAAGACGAAGAAAUACUGAAUAUUCUGCAUUCAGGGUUUCUGCAGGUUUGAACAAGUUAAAUUUAAGCCUCUAAUACCUUCUUAAGACCCAUUAUGAAUACAAUUUCUGACCUAUAUGAAGGACAUACGCACAACUAACUAUGAAACAUAGAAACCCUGUGCAUUAUUCACUUGGUACUUUUCUUACCUGUUUACAUUCCCGUGAAGUUCAAAAAUGUCUUCGUUCACUCGGAGCAAUUCCUUGGCGAUAUUGAUUCGAUCCUCUCUAGUCAACCGUCUCUGUCGAAACAGUUUGCCGCGUAGUGUGGAAGAGGACAAACGGUCACAUGUCUCUAGAUUCAACCAAUGAGAAGGCGCAGCGAGCCAAUGACGAAUCGAAACCUAAACCGACGUGCCGCCGGGAUAGUAGGACACUCAACCGUUGUACACUCAGGGAGUCCAUCAUCCUAAAAUAAACACUUAAAUUACUCUACACCAGCAUUAUACUUAGAGACAACACCCAAGAGUGUUUCUGGUACACCCCAAAAAAUGUACUUAGUGCCUAUUCAACACCAAAGUGUAUAAAAUCUACUCUGGUCAUGAAUACUCUGGGAUUUUAACACUUUGCGAUUUGCUGUGCCGUUUUGUGGGUACGCAACGGUUAUAAAUGAGACCCCAGAACAUGGCACCUGGUUACAUACCCAUUUCCUGGUGCUGACUUAUAACCAUCGUUAUGAGUCAGCAAAAAAAGUAAAGUAAAGUCCCUUCAUUACAGGUAACACCUGGC